RNAcentral lists this ribosomal RNA (404 nucleotides) under Actinomycetes bacterium. RNAcentral describes it as "Actinobacteria bacterium partial 16S ribosomal RNA". It matches the Rfam family "Bacterial small subunit ribosomal RNA", at positions 355 to 776 of the family's 1533-position model. Lineage: Bacteria; Bacillati; Actinomycetota; Actinomycetes. The record is from RNAcentral.
UGGGGAAUAUUGGACAAUGGGGGCAACCCUGAUCCAGCAAUGCCGCGUGUGUGAAGAAGGUUUUCGGAUUGUAAAGCACUUUCGGCGGGGACGAUGAUGACGGUACCCGCAGAAGAAGCCCCGGCUAACUUCGUGCCAGCAGCCGCGGUAAUACGAAGGGGGCUAGCGUUGCUCGGAAUGACUGGGCGUAAAGGGCGUGUAGGCGGUUUGUACAGUUAGAUGUGAAAUCCCCGGGCUUAACCUGGGAGCUGCAUUUAAUACGUGCAGACUAGAGUGUGAGAGAGGGUUGUGGAAUUCCCAGUGUAGAGGUGAAAUUCGUAGAUAUUGGGAAGAACACCGGUGGCGAAGGCGGCAACCUGGCUCAUUACUGACGCUGAGGCGCGAAAGCGUGGGGAGCAAACAGG